RNAcentral lists this ribosomal RNA (433 nucleotides) under uncultured bacterium. RNAcentral describes it as "partial 16S ribosomal RNA". It matches the Rfam family "Bacterial small subunit ribosomal RNA", at positions 29 to 507 of the family's 1533-position model. The record is from RNAcentral.
AACGAACGCUGGCGGCAUGCCUAACACAUGCAAGUCGAACGAGACCUUCGGGUCUAGUGGCGCACGGGUGCGUAACGCGUGGGAACCUGCCCUUAGGUUCGGAAUAACUCUCCGAAAGGGGUGCUAAUACCGGAUAAUGUCUUCGGACCAAAGAUUUAUCGCCCUUGGAUGGGCCCGCGUUGGAUUAGCUAGUUGGUAGGGUAAAAGCCUACUAAGGCGACGAUCCAUAGCUGGUCUGAGAGAAUGAUCAGCCACACUGGGACUGAGACACGGCCCAGACUCCUACGGGAGGCAGCAGUGGGGAAUAUUGGACAAUGGGCGAAAGCCUGAUCCAGCAAUGCCGCGUGAGUGAUGAAGGCCUUAGGGUUGUAAAGCUCUUUUACCCGGGAUGAUAAUGACAGUACCGGGAGAAUAAGCUCCGGCUAACUCCGUG